Molecule: ribosomal RNA, 253 nt
Filed under: uncultured bacterium
Lineage: Bacteria
Description: partial 16S ribosomal RNA
Rfam family: Bacterial small subunit ribosomal RNA
Source: RNAcentral
UACGGGGGGGGCAAGCGUUGUUCGGAAUUACUGGGCGUAAAGGGCGCGUAGGCGGCCUGCUAAGUCGGAUGUGAAAUCCCUCGGCUCAACCGAGGAACUGCAUCCGAUACUGGCGGGCUUGAAUCCGGGAGAGGGAAGUGGAAUUCCCGGUGUAGUGGUGAAAUGCGUAGAUAUCGGGAGGAACACCAGUGGCGAAGGCGACUUCCUGGCCUGUUCUUGACGCUGAGGCGCGAAAGCUAGGGGAGCAAACGGG